Molecule: ribosomal RNA, 253 nt
Filed under: uncultured bacterium
Lineage: Bacteria
Description: partial 16S ribosomal RNA
Rfam family: Bacterial small subunit ribosomal RNA
Source: RNAcentral
UACGAAGGGGGCUAGCGUUGCUCGGAAUUACUGGGCGUAAAGGGCGCGUAGGCGGACAUUUAAGUCAGAGGUGAAAUCCCGGAGCUUAACUUCGGAACUGCCUUUGAUACUGGGUGUCUUGAGUGUGAGAGAGGUAUGUGGAACUCCGAGUGUAGAGGUGAAAUUCGUAGAUAUUCGGAAGAACACCAGUGGCGAAGGCGACAUACUGGCUCAUUACUGACGCUGAGGCUCGAAAGCGUGGGGAGCAAACAGG